Molecule: ribosomal RNA, 492 nt
Filed under: uncultured bacterium
Lineage: Bacteria
Description: partial 16S ribosomal RNA
Rfam family: Bacterial small subunit ribosomal RNA
Source: RNAcentral
AUUGAACGCUGGCGGCAUGCUUUACACAUGCAAGUCGAACGGUAACAGGCCUUCGGGUGCUGACGAGUGGUGAACGGGUGAGUAAUGCAUCGGAACGUGCCCAGAGGUGGGGGAUAACGCAGCGAAAGCUGUGCUAAUACCGCAUGUGAUCUGAGGAUGAAAGCGGGGGACCAAGCAGCAAUGUUUGGCCUCGCGCCUCUGGAGCGGCCGAUGUCAGAUUAGGUAGUUGGUGGGGUAAAGGCCUACCAAGCCGACGAUCUGUAGCUGGUCUGAGAGGACGACCAGCCACACUGGGACUGAGACACGGCCCAGACUCCUACGGGAGGCAGCAGUGGGGAAUUUUGGACAAUGGGCGCAAGCCUGAUCCAGCAAUGCCGCGUGCGGGAAGAAGGCCUUCGGGUUGUAAACCGCUUUUGUACGGAACGAAAAGGCUCUGGCUAAUACCUGGGGCUGAUGACGGUACCGUAAGAAUAAGCACCGGCUAACUACGUG